GAUGAAGAACGCAGCGAAAUGCGAUAAGUAAUGUGAAUUGCAGAAUUCAGUGAAUCAUCGAAUCUUUGAACGCACCUUGCGCCCUUUGGCUAUUCUGAAGGGCAUGCCUGUUUGAGUAUCAUGAACACCUCAACUCUCAUGGUUUGCCAUGAUGAGCUUGGACUUUGGGGGUCUUGCUGGCCUUCGGUCGGCUCCUCUCAAAUGAAUCAGCUUGCCAGUGUUUGGUGGCAUCACGGGUGUGAUAACUAUCUACGCUUGUGGUUUCCCACCAGGUAACCUUCAGUGAUGGAGGUUCGCUGGGGCUCAUAAAUGUCCCUCCACAGUGAGGACAGCUUUUGAACGUUUGAUCUCAAAUCAGGUAGGACUACCCGCUGAACUUAAGCAUAUCAAUAAGCGGAGGA
This 401-nucleotide unclassified non-coding RNA is filed under the name soil metagenome. Its description in RNAcentral is "partial contains 5.8S ribosomal RNA, internal transcribed spacer 2, and large subunit ribosomal RNA". The stretch from base 1 to 121 matches the Rfam family "5.8S ribosomal RNA", at positions 35 to 154 of the family's 154-position model. The record is from RNAcentral.